UACGUAGGGGGCGAGCGUUGUCCGGAUUUAUUGGGCGUAAAGAGCGUGUAGGCGGCCAGGUAGGUCUGCUGUGAAAACUCGAGGCUCAACCUCGAGACGUCGGCGGAAACCAUCUGGCUAGAGUCCGGAAGAGGAGAGUGGAAUUCCUGGUGUAGCGGUGAAAUGCGCAGAUAUCAGGAAGAACACCCGUGGCGAAGGCGGCUCUCUGGGACGGUACUGACGCUGAGGCGCGAAAGCGUGGGUAGCAAACAGG
Molecule: ribosomal RNA, 253 nt
Filed under: uncultured bacterium
Lineage: Bacteria
Description: partial 16S ribosomal RNA
Rfam family: Bacterial small subunit ribosomal RNA
Source: RNAcentral